GUAGGGAAUAUUGGGCAAUGGAUGCAAGUCUGACCCAGCCAUCCCGCGUGCCGGAAGAAGGCCCUCAGGGUUGUAAACGGCUUUUGACGGUGAAGAAUCGACAGGAUGCGUCCUGUUUUGACGGUAGCCGUUGAAUAAGCACCGGCUAACUCCGUGCCAGCAGCCGCGGUAAUACGGAGGGUGCGAGCGUUGUCCGGAUUUAUUGGGUUUAAAGGGUGCGUAGGCUGGAAGGUCAGUCAGCGGUGAAAAGCCGUCGCUUAACGAUAGUCUUGCCGCAGAUACUUCCUUUCUUGGAUGAGGAGGAGGCCACUGGAACGGAUGGUGUAGCGGUGAAAUGCAUAGAUAUCAUCCAGAACACCGAUUGCGAAGGCAGGUGGCUGUACCUUAAUCGACGCUGAUGCACGAAAGCAUGGGGAGCAAACAGGAUUAGAAACCCGGGUAGUCC
RNAcentral lists this ribosomal RNA (445 nucleotides) under uncultured bacterium. RNAcentral describes it as "partial 16S ribosomal RNA". It matches the Rfam family "Bacterial small subunit ribosomal RNA", at positions 354 to 796 of the family's 1533-position model. The record is from RNAcentral.